This is a non-coding RNA of Nylanderia fulva, 295 nucleotides long. The record is from RefSeq and is a predicted model, not a curated record. Lineage: Eukaryota; Metazoa; Arthropoda; Insecta; Hymenoptera; Formicidae.
UUAUAUAACAUCAUGUUACUAUUAUUUUGUAGAUAUAUAAAUACAGUUGAAGAAAUGAUGCACAAACAGUAAUCGAAUCAAAGUAGGAUAGGUAACACCGGAUCAGUGCAUUUUAUAUUCCAAACAACAAUGAAGACUCUUGUGCUUAUUGCGUGUUUAGUAACAAUAUCCUACGCCGCUGAUCAAGAAAAAUUGAAGAUAAUGUAUCAAAUCUUCCAAACUUGUCUCGAGGAACAGAAUGCACAAGCAUGGAUUCCAGAAGCGGUUCGAUGUGUAUUAUACAAGCUGGAAUAGU